UUAAGUUAUUAAGGGCGCACGGUGGAUGCCUUGGCACUAGAAGCCGAUGAAGGACGUUACUAACGACGAUAUGCUUUGGGGAGCUGUAAGUAAGCUUUGAUCCAGAGAUUUCCGAAUGGGGAAACCCAGCAUGAGUUAUGUCAUGUUAUCGAUAUGUGAAUACAUAGCAUAUCAGAAGGCACACCCGGAGAACUGAAACAUCUUAGUACCCGGAGGAAGAGAAAGAAAAUUCGAUUCCCUUAGUAGCGGCGAGCGAAACGGGAAGAGCCCAAACCAACAAGCUUGCUUGUUGGGGUUGUAGGACACUCUAUACGGAGUUACAAAGGACGACAUUAGACGAAUCAUCUGGAAAGAUGAAUCAAAGAAGGUAAUAAUCCUGUAGUCGAAAAUGUUGUCUCUCUUGAGUGGAUCCUGAGUACGACGGAGCACGUGAAAUUCCGUCGGAAUCUGGGAGGACCAUCUCCUAAGGCUAAAUACUCUCUAGUGACCGAUAGUGAACCAGUACCGUGAGGGAAAGGUGAAAAGCACCCCGGAAGGGGAGUGAAAUAGAACCUGAAACCGUGUGCUUACAAGUAGUCAGAGCCCGUUAAUGGGUGAUGGCGUGCCUUUUGUAGAAUGAACCGGCGAGUUACGAUUUGAUGCAAGGUUAAGCAGUAAAUGUGGAGCCGUAGCGAAAGCGAGUCUGAAUAGGGCGUUUAGUAUUUGGUCGUAGACCCGAAACCAGGUGAUCUACCCUUGGUCAGGUUGAAGUUCAGGUAACACUGAAUGGAGGACCGAACCGACUUACGUUGAAAAGUGAGCGGAUGAACUGAGGGUAGCGGAGAAAUUCCAAUCGAACCUGGAGAUAGCUGGUUCUCUCCGAAAUAGCUUUAGGGCUAGCCUCAAGUGAUGAUUAUUGGAGGUAGAGCACUGUUUGGACGAGGGGCCCCUCUCGGGUUACCGAAUUCAGACAAACUCCGAAUGCCAAUUAAUUUAACUUGGGAGUCAGAACAUGGGUGAUAAGGUCCGUGUUCGAAAGGGAAACAGCCCAGACCACCAGCUAAGGUCCCAAAAUAUAUGUUAAGUGGAAAAGGAUGUGGCGUUGCCCAGACAACUAGGAUGUUGGCUUAGAAGCAGCCAUCAUUUAAAGAGUGCGUAAUAGCUCACUAGUCGAGUGACACUGCGCCGAAAAUGUACCGGGGCUAAACAUGUUACCGAAGCUGUGGAUUGUCCUUUGGACAAUGGUAGGAGAGCGUUCUAAGGGCGUUGAAGCAUGAUCGUAAGGACAUGUGGAGCGCUUAGAAGUGAGAAUGCCGGUGUGAGUAGCGAAAGACGGGUGAGAAUCCCGUCCACCGAUUGACUAAGGUUUCCAGAGGAAGGCUCGUCCGCUCUGGGUUAGUCGGGUCCUAAGCUGAGGCCGACAGGCGUAGGCGAUGGAUAACAGGUUGAUAUUCCUGUACCACCUAUAAUCGUUUUAAUCGAUGGGGGGACGCAGUAGGAUAGGCGAAGCGUGCGAUUGGAUUGCACGUCUAAGCAGUAAGGCUGAGUAUUAGGCAAAUCCGGUACUCGUUAAGGCUGAGCUGUGAUGGGGAGAAGACAUUGUGUCUUCGAGUCGUUGAUUUCACACUGCCGAGAAAAGCCUCUAGAUAGAAAAUAGGUGCCCGUACCGCAAACCGACACAGGUAGUCAAGAUGAGAAUUCUAAGGUGAGCGAGCGAACUCUCGUUAAGGAACUCGGCAAAAUGACCCCGUAACUUCGGGAGAAGGGGUGCUCUUUAGGGUUAACGCCCAGAAGAGCCGCAGUGAAUAGGCCCAAGCGACUGUUUAUCAAAAACACAGGUCUCUGCUAAACCGUAAGGUGAUGUAUAGGGGCUGACGCCUGCCCGGUGCUGGAAGGUUAAGAGGAGUGGUUAGCUUCUGCGAAGCUACGAAUCGAAGCCCCAGUAAACGGCGGCCGUAACUAUAACGGUCCUAAGGUAGCGAAAUUCCUUGUCGGGUAAGUUCCGACCCGCACGAAAGGCGUAACGAUUUGGGCACUGUCUCAACGAGAGACUCGGUGAAAUCAUAGUACCUGUGAAGAUGCAGGUUACCCGCGACAGGACGGAAAGACCCCGUGGAGCUUUACUGUAGCCUGAUAUUGAAAUUCGGCACAGCUUGUACAGGAUAGGUAGGAGCCUUUGAAACGUGAGCGCUAGCUUACGUGGAGGCGCUGGUGGGAUACUACCCUAGCUGUGUUGGCUUUCUAACCCGCACCACUUAUCGUGGUGGGAGACAGUGUCAGGCGGGCAGUUUGACUGGGGCGGUCGCCUCCUAAAAGGUAACGGAGGCGCUCAAAGGUUCCCUCAGAAUGGUUGGAAAUCAUUCAUAGAGUGUAAAGGCAUAAGGGAGCUUGACUGCGAGACCUACAAGUCGAGCAGGGUCGAAAGACGGACUUAGUGAUCCGGUGGUUCCGCAUGGAAGGGCCAUCGCUCAACGGAUAAAAGCUACCCCGGGGAUAACAGGCUUAUCUCCCCCAAGAGUUCACAUCGACGGGGAGGUUUGGCACCUCGAUGUCGGCUCAUCGCAUCCUGGGGCUGUAGUCGGUCCCAAGGGUUGGGCUGUUCGCCCAUUAAAGCGGUACGCGAGCUGGGUUCAGAACGUCGUGAGACAGUUCGGUCCCUAUCCGUCGUGGGCGUAGGAAAUUUGAGAGGAGCUGUCCUUAGUACGAGAGGACCGGGAUGGACAUACCUCUGGUGUACCAGUUGUCGUGCCAACGGCAUAGCUGGGUAGCUAUGUGUGGACGGGAUAAGUGCUGAAAGCAUCUAAGCAUGAAGCCCCCCUCAAGAUGAGAUUUCCCAACUUCGGUUAUAAGAUCCCUCAAAGAUGAUGAGGUUAAUAGGUUCGAGGUGGAAGCAUGGUGACAUGUGGAGCUGACGAAUACUAAUCGAUCGAAGACUUAAUC
Molecule: ribosomal RNA, 2919 nt
Filed under: Staphylococcus aureus
Lineage: Bacteria; Bacillati; Bacillota; Bacilli; Caryophanales; Staphylococcaceae
Description: 23S ribosomal RNA
Rfam family: Bacterial large subunit ribosomal RNA
Source: RNAcentral